AUGGCCUGGACCCCUCUCCUACUGGGCCUCCUGGCUCACUUCACAGGCUCUGUGGUCUCCUAUGAGCUGACUCAGCCUUCCUCAGUGUCGGUGUCUCUGGGACAGACGGCCAGGUUGACAUGUCAGGGAGACAACAUUGGUGGUAAAUACGUUCAAUGGUACCAGCAGAAGGCAGGCCGGGCCCCUGUGCUGGUCAUUUAUAAGAAUAACCAGCGGCCCUCAGGGAUCCCUGACCGGUUCUCAGGCUCCAAAUCUGGGAACACGGCCACCCUGACCAUCAGCGGGACCCAGGCCGAGGAAGAGGCUGAUUAUUACUGUCAGGUGUGGGACAGUGGUUUAGGGCCACAAUGUCACAGGGCCAUGGGGAAGUGA
Non-coding RNA from Talpa occidentalis (Iberian mole), 372 nucleotides. The record is from the annotation of a RefSeq genome assembly. NCBI's taxonomy places the organism in Eukaryota, Metazoa, Chordata, Mammalia, Eulipotyphla, Talpidae.